GCCGAGAUAGCUCAGUUGGCAGAGCAACGCACUCGUAACGCGUAGGUCCGGGGUUCGACCCCCCGUCUCGGCU
This 73-nucleotide transfer RNA is filed under the name Candidatus Falkowiibacteriota bacterium. RNAcentral describes it as "tRNA-Thr". It matches the Rfam family "tRNA". Rfam says of the family: Transfer RNA (tRNA) molecules are approximately 80 nucleotides in length. Their secondary structure includes four short double-helical elements and three loops (D, anti-codon, and T loops). Further hydrogen bonds mediate the characteristic L-shaped molecular structure. tRNAs have two regions of fundamental functional importance: the anti-codon, which is responsible for specific mRNA codon recognition, and the 3' end, to which the tRNAs corresponding amino acid is attached (by aminoacyl-tRNA synthetases). tRNAs cope with the degeneracy of the genetic code in two manners: having more than one tRNA (with a specific anti-codon) for a particular amino acid; and 'wobble' base-pairing, i.e. permitting non-standard base-pairing at the 3rd anti-codon position. The record is from RNAcentral. Lineage: Bacteria; Candidatus Falkowiibacteriota. RNAcentral also lists the same sequence under 1 other name.